RNAcentral lists this ribosomal RNA (515 nucleotides) under uncultured bacterium. Its description in RNAcentral is "bacterial SSU rRNA". It matches the Rfam family "Bacterial small subunit ribosomal RNA", at positions 21 to 518 of the family's 1533-position model. The record is from RNAcentral.
GGUUCAGAACGAACGCUGGCGGCGUGCUUAACACAUGCAAGUCGAACGCAAAGGGACUCGGUCCUGAGUAAAGUGGCGCACGGGUGAGUAACGCGUAGAUAACCUGUCUUCAUGUCUGGAAUAAUACGCCGAAAGGGGUACUAAUACCGGAUAUUCUUGCUUUUCAUAAGUUAUGCAAGCAAAGGUGGCCUCUGCAUAUGCUACUGCAUGAAGAGGGGUCUGCGUACCAUUAGCUAGUAGGUGGGGUAAUGGCCUACCUAGGCGACGAUGGUUAGCGGGUCUGAGAGGAUGAUCCGCCACACUGGCACUGGAACACGGGCCAGACUCCUACGGGAGGCAGCAGUGAGGAAUAUUGCGCAAUGGGGGAAACCCUGACGCAGCGACGCCGCGUGAGUGAGGAAGGCCUUCGGGUCGUAAAGCUCUGUCAAGAGGAAAGAAGUGUACAAUGGCUAAUACCUGUUGUAUUUGACGGUACCUCUAAAGGAAGCACCGGCUAACUCCGUGCCAGCCGCCGC